This 492-nucleotide ribosomal RNA is filed under the name uncultured bacterium. RNAcentral's name for it is "partial 16S ribosomal RNA". It matches the Rfam family "Bacterial small subunit ribosomal RNA", at positions 29 to 507 of the family's 1533-position model. The record is from RNAcentral.
AGUGAACGCUGGCGGUAGGCCUAACACAUGCAAGUCGAACGGCAGCACAGUAAGAGCUUGCUCUUACGGGUGGCGAGUGGCGGACGGGUGAGGAAUACAUCGGAAUCUACUUUUUCGUGGGGGAUAACGUAGGGAAACUUACGCUAAUACCGCAUACGACCUACGGGUGAAAGCAGGGGAUCUUCGCACCUUGCGCGAUUGAAUGAGCCGAUGUCGGAUUAGCUAGUUGGCGGGGUAAAGGCCCACCAAGGCGACGAUCCGUAGCUGGUCUGAGAGGAUGAUCAGCCACACUGGAACUGAGACACGGUCCAGACUCCUACGGGAGGCAGCAGUGGGGAAUAGUGGACAAUGGGCGCAAGCCUGAUCCAGCCAUACCGCGUGGGUGAAGAAGGCCUUCGGGUUGUAAAGCCCUUUUGUUGGGAAAGAAAAGCAGCAGGUUAAUACCCCGCUGUUCUGACGGUACCCAAAGAAUAAGCACCGGCUAACUUCGUG